This 253-nucleotide ribosomal RNA is filed under the name uncultured Longilinea sp. Its description in RNAcentral is "partial 16S ribosomal RNA". It matches the Rfam family "Bacterial small subunit ribosomal RNA", at positions 524 to 776 of the family's 1533-position model. Lineage: Bacteria; Bacillati; Chloroflexota; Anaerolineae; Anaerolineales; Anaerolineaceae. The record is from RNAcentral.
AACGUAGGAGACGAGCGUUAUCCGGAUUUACUGGGCGUAAAGCGCGUGCAGGCGGUUUUCUAAGUCGGACGUGAAAGCUCCUGGCUCAACUGGGAGAGGUCGUUCGAAACUAGGAGACUUGAGGGUGGUAGAGGAGAGUGGAAUUCCCGGUGUAGUGGUGAAAUGCGUAGAUAUCGGGAGGAACACCAGUGGCGAAGGCGGCUCUCUGGGCCAUUCCUGACGCUCAGACGCGAAAGCUAGGGGAGAGAACGGG